UUUCCGUAGGUGAACCUGCGGAAGGAUCAUUAGCGAUUGAAUAGCGCAUGCCGCCUCGCCAUAGUGCAGGCGGCUCUAUAACGCAACCCUUGCCUUUUGUGAAGCACCGUUAUUUGAUCCCUCGGCGGCCUCGCCCGCCAACAGGGACCUUGAAAACACUUGCAAUUCUAGUAUAAACCUUCUGAAAUAACCUAAAUCUUUUAAAAACUUUCAACAAUGGAUCUCUUGGCUCUG
Molecule: unclassified non-coding RNA, 234 nt
Filed under: soil metagenome
Description: partial contains small subunit ribosomal RNA, internal transcribed spacer 1, and 5.8S ribosomal RNA
Source: RNAcentral